Molecule: transfer RNA, 71 nt
Filed under: Andalucia godoyi
Lineage: Eukaryota; Jakobea; Jakobida; Andaluciidae
Description: tRNA-Cys
Rfam family: tRNA
About the family: Transfer RNA (tRNA) molecules are approximately 80 nucleotides in length. Their secondary structure includes four short double-helical elements and three loops (D, anti-codon, and T loops). Further hydrogen bonds mediate the characteristic L-shaped molecular structure. tRNAs have two regions of fundamental functional importance: the anti-codon, which is responsible for specific mRNA codon recognition, and the 3' end, to which the tRNAs corresponding amino acid is attached (by aminoacyl-tRNA synthetases). tRNAs cope with the degeneracy of the genetic code in two manners: having more than one tRNA (with a specific anti-codon) for a particular amino acid; and 'wobble' base-pairing, i.e. permitting non-standard base-pairing at the 3rd anti-codon position.
Source: RNAcentral
GGCUGGAUAGCAUAAUGGCAAUGUAGGAGAUUGCAAAUCUUUUGAUGGCGGUUCAAUUCCGCCUCUAGCCU